This 94-nucleotide small nucleolar RNA is filed under the name Oryza punctata. Its description in RNAcentral is "snoRNA snoZ256". It matches the Rfam family "Small nucleolar RNA Z256". Rfam says of the family: Z256 is a member of the C/D class of snoRNA which contain the C (UGAUGA) and D (CUGA) box motifs. Most of the members of the box C/D family function in directing site-specific 2'-O-methylation of substrate RNAs. The record is from Rfam by way of RNAcentral. Lineage: Eukaryota; Viridiplantae; Streptophyta; Magnoliopsida; Poales; Poaceae.
ACCUCCCCAUCAUGCUAACACCGCCUACUUGGGCCUAGCUGAUGGGCCUCCCCGUGUACUCCAUCAACAGUAUGGCCAAGCUUAAGGCUCAGUU